CAGGAAAGGGGCGGGCGUGCUUACACAUGCAAGUCGAACGAUGAUGCCCAGCUUGCUGGGCGGAUUAGUGGCGAACGGGUGAGUAAUACGUGAGUAACCUGCCCUUGACUCUGGGAUAAGCCUGGGAAACUGGGUCUAAUACUGGAUACUACCUCUUACCGCAUGGUGGGUGGUGGAAAGGGUUUUACUGGUUUUGGAUGGGCUCACGGCCUAUCAGCUUGUUGGUGGGGUAAUGGCUCACCAAGGCGACGACGGGUAGCCGGCCUGAGAGGGUGACCGGCCACACUGGGACUGAGACACGGCCCAGACUCCUACGGGAGGCAGCAGUGGGGAAUAUUGCACAAUGGGCGGAAGCCUGAUGCAGCGACGCCGCGUGAGGGAUGACGGCCUUCGGGUUGUAAACCUCUUUCAGUAGGGAAGAAGCGAGAGUGACGGUACCUGCAGAAGAAGCGCCGGCUAACUACGUGCCAGCAGCCGCGGUAAUACGUAGGGCGCAAGCGUUGUCCGGAAUUAUUGGGCGUAAAGAGCUCGUAGGCGGUUUGUCGCGUCUGCUGUGAAAGCCCGGGGCUCAACCCCGGGUCUGCAGUGGGUACGGGCAGACUAGAGUGCAGUAGGGGAGACUGGAAUUCCUGGUGUAGCGGUGAAAUGCGCAGAUAUCAGGAGGAACACCGAUGGCGAAGGCAGGUCUCUGGGCUGUUACUGACGCUGAGGAGCGAAAGCAUGGGGAGCGAACAGGAUUAGAUACCCUGGUAGUCCAUGCCGUAAACGUUGGGCACUAGGUGUGGGGGACAUUCCACGUUUUCCGCGCCGUAGCUAACGCAUUAAGUGCCCCGCCUGGGGAGUACGGCCGCAAGGCUAAAACUCAAAGGAAUUGACGGGGGCCCGCACAAGCGGCGGAGCAUGCGGAUUAAUUCGAUGCAACGCGAAGAACCUUACCAGGGCUUGACAUUCACCGGACCGCCCAGAGAUGGGGUUUCUCUUCGGGGCUGGUGGACAGGUGGUGCAUGGUUGUCGUCAGCUCGUGUCGUGAGAUGUUGGGUUAAGUCCCGCAACGAGCGCAACCCUCGUUCUAUGUUGCCAGCACGUGAUGGUGGGGACUCAUAGGAGACUGCCGGGGUCAACUCGGAGGAAGGUGGGGAUGACGUCAAAUCAUCAUGCCCCUUAUGUCUUGGGCUUCACGCAUGCUACAAUGGCCGGUACAAAGGGUUGCGAUACUGUGAGGUGGAGCUAAUCCCAAAAAGCCGGUCUCAGUUCGGAUUGAGGUCUGCAACUCGACCUCAUGAAGUCGGAGUCGCUAGUAAUCGCAGAUCAGCAACGCUGCGGUGAAUACGUUCCCGGGCCUUGUACACACCGCCCGUCAAGUCACGAAAGUUGGUAACACCCGAAGCCGGUGGCCUAACCCCUUGUGGGAGGGAGCCGUCGAA
RNAcentral lists this ribosomal RNA (1424 nucleotides) under uncultured bacterium. RNAcentral describes it as "bacterial SSU rRNA". It matches the Rfam family "Bacterial small subunit ribosomal RNA". The record is from RNAcentral.